This 1753-nucleotide long non-coding RNA is filed under the name Zea mays. RNAcentral's name for it is "long non-coding RNA (ZMAY_LNC002529)". Lineage: Eukaryota; Viridiplantae; Streptophyta; Magnoliopsida; Poales; Poaceae. The record is from RNAcentral.
GCCUGCCUCACUUUAGCAUCCAGAUGAGAGGGAGAGGAGGCCACCGCGGUUGACCUUCAUGCUCCAGGCUGCCUACCUCCAAUCACGUGCAUGGGAGAAGUCGUCGGUGCACGCCACCCGCGUACGAGGAUUUGUAGUGUGGAAUAGUUGAUCGGAGUAUGGGAGAUCUCUCAUCGGAGCUCCAUCAUCGCCGCCGAGUUGCCCUUCUCGUGGUCUGCACGGCCAUGACCUUAAUUGCUGGUGAGAUAAUGGCCCUGAUAUUUGUUGUCUUCCUUACUUCGAGUAGCGUCUGUUAGAUUUGGAUUUAGGUGACCGGGUCACAUAAUUCAUGUUCUCCGGUGAGGUGCCCAUCGCUCCUGCUUGGGCAUCGCCACGGAGGAAACCAGCGCCGCCUGUCGGGUAGCAGAGAGGAGGAAGAAGGAAUGGCAGCAGUUGUCGAUCAGUGGAAGCAUGGUCAGGAUUAAAAGUAGCGUACUCAAUUUGUGUUUUAAAUCUCAACAGUUGAUCGAUAAUCCGAGGGUCGGGAUUGAUCGGGGUCGUGUUGGCUUUCGAUCCAUUGAUUUCCUAUCCUAUGGCCAACAUGGGUAUACCGGUUCAUAAUCUCGUGGAUCUAAUCUGGGCUGUUUGGAUUAGAUCGGGCGGCUCAAGGUGCUCGAUACCCCUUCGUACCGAGAUAAGUGCAAAAAAAACCCUCGAUGAAGUAUAAAAUAAACCUAUCGCCCCUCCUGUAAUAAUAUCUUACACCUAGGUCCCUGGUUUUUAUAAAACCAUCCCUCAAAGUUAUUUUCAGUAUGAAAGAUUAAUAAUAAAUCACCCCAAAACUUAUUUGGUUCAUAACUUUUUCAUUUUAUAUCCGUUCUGAUUUGUUCCCGUCGCGUUAGCUUCAUAACGAUAUUGCCUACACGUUAACUACCCUAUUUUUUUUAUGUAACAAUAAUUAUCUAAUUUAUUUAAUCUAUAUGGGGUUAGAGGUUCUAAUGCGGGCAAUAUGAUAUUCUGAUCCUGUAAUUAGAAUCUGACUAAAAUAUAGUAUCUAAUCAAGUAAUAAUUUAGACUAAAGUUGAAUUAACUAUUACUUUAUAUUAUCUUUCUCACAUGAUUUAUAAAAUCAAUCUAAUAUCUAGUAUUAAUUGUUUAAUCACAUAGAUCUUGCGAAAACCAUAUCUCCUCAAUUGUGACUCUGAUUUUAGUGGUUCUCGGACCUGUGAUCUCAUAGCAGCGCGUAGAAUAUUCUUACGUUGUUUGUUCAUAUGCUUUGGUAAUGUUACCAUAUCCAUUAUUUGCUUCAAUGUAUGUAUUGCUACGAAUAGAGGCGAGGUGACGAGGACCUUGAAGCCCCAGUUUUAGGUCAACAUCUGAACAACAGAGUUAUCACAAGUAUAAGGCAAGUUGUGCCCUUGAUCAGUCUUCUUUACCUAAUAAUGUUCCUGUUAAUCACUAUGACAUGCUCAGGCUAAUUUGAUGGGACCUAAUAGGUUACCCUAGUUUUGUUCACUCUACACCUUGCAAACCAAUGAACUAUUGGGUAGACUUGCUAUUUCUCUACCUGGUUUUGGGAUUAAUGUUAGACUGAACUAUGAUCAUGUUCCACUAUUAUUGUUGGUUUAAUUAUUGGUCACGAUAAUACCAUUGUGUUAAUUGAAACAUGGAGCUUAAUUUGAGAUAGCAGUGCUACCACAAGGGUGGAAUGGGACACCCUUGGCUGAAUAAUUAGGAAAGCUAGUGUGAGUUAAUCCAUUCCCGUAAGGGGCAA